GCACUUAUUUUGGCAGCACAUAUGCUAAAAUUGGAACAAUACAAAGAAGAUUAGUAUGGCCCCUGCACAAGGAUGACAUGCAAAUUCAUGAAGCGUUCCAUAUUAAA
Otolemur garnettii (small-eared galago) is the source of this 107-nucleotide small nuclear RNA. Lineage: Eukaryota; Metazoa; Chordata; Mammalia; Primates; Galagidae. The record is from Ensembl.